GCAGUUCCACUAUGGUCGGCCUGUAGUGAAUAUAAAUUGAAUGAAUAUAACUAUGGGUCUGUCUAUUGGGCAGUCGCCUGGUUUUAGAACCGAAACCAGUCGCCUGUUUUUUGGUUCUGUACCAGUCACCUGGUUUUUUGGCCAAAAACAGUCAAAUGUCAUAGGCAAAAGAAUGAACAGGCUGCUAGCUUUGGCACUCAAAAUAACAUGAAUACAAACUAUAACACCGCAGCAUAUGGAGCAACAUGGAAUCAAAGUACAAAACACAAACAUUGAUUUAUGGUUUUUGGUCUGCAAACCUUUUUAUAGUGUUAUCUUCUGUGCAGACAAAAUACAUUCAAACUCCAAAUGCUUCCAGGAUAACCCAAAAUGUAAAUUGUUCUCUUCUGUGCAGACAAGAGACCUUCAAACUCCAAAUGCUUCCAGAGUAACCAAAAUAAAAAAUCUUGUUAUUUUUUUGUACCACCAACCAAAGUUACAGAAUACAUGACUUUACUAGUGAAAUGUAUGUAGCAGUGUUUCAUUCCCCCGCAAAAACAAAAACAAUAUUUCAUUACAAGUAAAGCUAACUAUCUGCUGACAGAACAAAGGCCAAAGAAAAACUAUAAUUAGGACCCAACUUUUCCUGUUUUCCAAUUUGCUGAACUCAAGAAAGCUCAGAUGAAAAUUGGAAGCAAAGCUUUCACUUACCAAACCCAAAUUCUUGUUCGAGUCGGAUGCCGGUAAACAGAAGGCAAAGCACAUUGAUGAGUAAAUGAACAACCCCAGCAUGAAGCCACCAGAUACAUGUAAUCAGACGCCAUCCUUGUCGACCCUGGACAAUUUUAGAGACGUCUAGAUCUCCCAUCUUACCCUAACUGGACCUGUGAGUUUCUGAAUAAGCACAAUUUGUUUUUCACCCAAAGAAAAAUAAAAAGAUGAAGGAAACGAUAUGGAAGCACUAAAUCUGAAAAUGGAAAACAACAAACAUUCCAAUUGCAGAGAGUAGAAUGCAGUUGGAGAGGGGCAUCACAUAUUCAAAUGAGUGCCUGUGCAUCAAUCAAUCAAUCAGCUACCGCAACCUAAUCGGAGGAGAUAAAUUAACAGAGUAGUACACCUAGCUUGUACUUGUAACCAGGAACCAAUUUCAGCAGUUCAUGCUUGCUACAGUAAGUAAUUGCAGGCAGAGGGGGAAAAGGGGAGAAAUUCACAAACAAACAACAAACAAACAACAAACAAACAAAGUCAAAGUAUGCAGAGAUCAAGAACACAAUUUGCUCAAAUCUAUAUCUAAAAUUUUAGUGCAAAAACUUGCAUAAACCUGUUGCAUUCCCAUGUUAUAUUCGAUCUGGGUUCAUCAAACAAUGAAAAUAAAGAAAAAGAAAAUUUGUUGUUCAAAACCUACUGAAGUGCAUAGAUUUUGAUCACACAUUCAGAGACCAAAAACUACGAAAAAAGGAAUCCUUAAACCAGGGAAAUUGCAUAAAUGUGCAAUUGGUUUUGCUUAAAUUCAAUGGUGCAAUUGUAAAAGGUCAGUGCUGAAAUUGAGCAAACUAGAAAUAUAUGGUAUCAAAGUUCUGAAAAAGAUUUGAAUUGCAAGCUCUGGAUACAGAGGGACAUAUACAGAGGUGCAUAAAAAAAGAACAAAAUGACCACACUAGUUGGUACAGAAAAACUGCAAUUGCAAUGAAUGAAAAUCAAGAGUGAAAAUUGCACUUUUCCAGAGUAUAACUUGCAGCACUGUUUGUCGGUGCAUAAAAAAAGACAACAAAAAUGUUCAAUUAGGCAAAUAUAACCCACUAGUUGGGACAGAAAAAUUGCAAUUGCAAUUAAUGAAAGUCGUAGUCCGAUUGCGCUAAAGUAUAAUGUAAAAUGCGAUAUUGUUUGGCAGUGGAUCAAAAAAGAGAACAAAAUGUUCAAGUUAGGCAAACAUAACCCCACUAGUUGGGACAGAAAAAUUGCAAUUGCAAUUAAUGACAGUCAACAGUGCGAUUGCACUUAGACAGAGUGUGAAAUGCGCUAUUAUUUGGCAGUGCAUCAAUUAGAGACACAAAAUGUUCAAGUUAAUGCAUAUGACACCCCCCCCUGGUUGGGACUGAAAAAAAAUGCAAAUGCAAUUAGUGAAAGUCAACGGUGCAAUUGCACAUAUGCAGAAUGUAGGUUGCGCUGCUAUUUGGCAAGGCAUCAACGAGAGAACAAAAAAUGUUCAAGUUAGGUAGAUAACACACACACACACACACACACCUAGUUGGAACAGAGAAAUUGCAAUCAAUGAAGGUCAACAGUGCAAUUGCAUAUAAUUGCCCCUUAAAAAAUUAUGAGUUCAUCAAGUUAUACUAUAUAUGGAGUGCAGUUACAGAACAAAGCAUCUGCAAUUUCAAAUAAAGAUAUACAAAUUGCAUGCUAUAGUAGCAAACAAAAAUGGUACAAUUGCAGUUGUACUUCAAGUUACACCCCCUAUUGAUUUAACAUACUCCCUCCGUUCCAUGUUAAUUGGCACGACUUUAGUACAAGUUGUGCUAAAUUCACACCAAUUAAUAUGGAACGGAGGGAGUAGCAGUUAACCUGCCAGAUUUAGUAUGCAAGUUAUACCACUACUGUUUUUACAUAGCACUUAUUUUUCAAAGCAAUACAAACAUUUAUGGCUUAUAUAGCACUUAAUCGCAGUUAUGAACCAAUUCUACGGUGUUUCAGUCUUUAACCCCUUUUUUUUAUCAGUCACAAAUUAAAAAUUCAAUUGCAAUGUAAAAACACUUGAAUUGCAGGGGAGCAGGUUGUGCAACUGAUAAAGCAAAUUCAAUCCUACAGUCAGGAGAAACAGAAUUCCGUUCAGUGCUUCGCUUCUAAUGAAAUUUUGAAAAUUUAAAGAGAAUUACAAAUUCAGAGUAGACAAAAAACUAAAGAAGAUAUGAGCUAAUAUAUAAUAACGAAUACAAAUAAAGAAAACUAGGACAAAAGGACCUAUGGAACAUGGCGGCCAACACCCCUUUGCCUCGUGUUGUUACGAAAGAAAGAUUUCAGAUAGAAAAGGCAGACAAGUAGUUAAAAUUGACAUGAAGAAUAAAAGCAGUUAAUAUUGAAUUUGCAAAAUGAAAAGAACAUUUGAACACAAUGGUCACAUGUACCGGAUCACUGAUAUUGUCGAUAAUUAGAUCAGUUUCUUCAAAAGAUAAAGGUCACAUGUACCGGAUCACUGUAAGACCAAAUAAUGCUAGAAGGAAAAAUCCCCCUCUAUAGGAAAAACAACAUGCCUAAUAUACUGGACUACAAGAACAAUACUAAGCACAUAUUCGGUACAUACACAGAUAACCGAGCCAAUAAAUAAAUAGAAAUAAAAAUGAAACUAGAGAUAGCAGCAAAGUUUCAGUAUAUGCUUGGCACAGAUAAAGUUGCAAGUUAUAAACCCCAAAAACUUACAAAGCAGGUGACGAUUAAAAAUGAUGCAAUGUUCAGUUAUACAGGGAACACAAAGGGACUAUAGGCUAACACAUACACACCUAUAUAAACUCUUCUCUAGUUAAACUAGAGAAGAUCAAUUAAGAGGAUCGAUUAAACUAACAGAACUACCCUUGAACACACUAACAAAUCUGCAAAAUUACAAGCAAGAAAAUGAAUAAGGGGGGCAAUAUAAUAAACAAAGAAAGACGCUGUACCUUAAAUUUCUCCUUCCAAACUAUCCUCUUCUUCCUGUUUCGACAGUUUUACCAAACUAGAAAAAAUAAGGAAAAUAACACUAUAAGGGUGUAAUUGAUAGCUACUUAAAGAACACACGAAGAUACCAUUAAAAAACACAGAUGGGGGAAGGUGGAAGGAAAACCCAUACAAUCAACUUGAGCUUGUUCAGAAAUGAGCGGUCAUCAAUUGCCUCAACAACACGUAAAGUGUCGACAUCGUCCAUGGAAUCAUCAGCAGCUGGCAAUGAAUAAUCUUCUUCAUGAGUCCCAUCAUCACCAUUUGAGUCAUUGUUACCAAAUAGAUUGGAUGUUGAAUCCACUGACACUGCAAAUAGACAACAGAAAAGGCAUGAAAUCACCAUAUGGAUCUGUCUAGAAACACCACAGCUCCCACUUCUCAACCAACAGAAACCCAAAAAAGAGAGGAAAAUUUAACUCCCCAUCCCUAUCCCACACUGAGAUGAAAUUUGCCUCGUAUCACUCUCAAUCCUUAGCCCCAUAUUUAAGGGUCUGCAUAUAUAAACACCCACACCUCUCAAUCCCCACUAGAUAUGAGAUAUCUACACUGCAACAUAAGACUCUUGUUUAUUCAUCAACAAACUGCACACAAAAAAUGGAGCAAACACACCUCUAAACUAUGAAUCCCCACCAAGCUGAGGUGAUUCCACUGCCCGCAACUCAACCAGGACGCACAGAGAGCAAGCAGCAACCUCGCAGAACUGAUUCCACCGCCAAAAAACGCGGCAACUCAACCCCUUGCUCCGGCCAUCACCGCCUAACAACCCCUCAACUCCAGCCGCGAUAGGGGGCCGCCUGAGUUUGACCAGGACCUCGCCACCGGCCGGUCUAGUUCCGACUGCAACAAACUCCGCUGCAGAAACUACCACCGCUGAGAGAACACAACCCACCACUACAGCACACAUCAAGUUUCCAGCCACCCUUCCGCCGGCGACAAUUGCCACCGCUCGAAACCCUAGCGGCCGAACAUCGCCGUUCCCCCUCACCGCUCUGCCUGCCGAUUUGGGGGAAAUGAAAAGGGGAAAACGGCUGACUGAAAAGUUCAAACAGUAAUCCCUCCGGGCAUAAGAAAACAACAAAAGAAAAACAGAGAGGCCCACCCCGAAGCACGAAUCUCACAGCAGCAACGGACGUACGAGAUGGUCGACUGAAACAGAAGAAAAAACCAGGCGCCUGUGCAAUAGCAAAUCUGUAUAACUAUAGGGCAAACACUUAAAAGGCUUCUUCCAAUAGGGAAAACAAAUAAAAAAAUUAAAAGGCUUUCUUUCUAUGAAUUUUGCCGGUGGGUAAAAACUAAAGCAUCAAGAGUACUUACUGGUAUCUAAAGGGAAAACAAAUAAAAUGACCAAGGACUCCAAUCAAUGGCAAAAUUU
This 5044-nucleotide long non-coding RNA is filed under the name Brachypodium distachyon (stiff brome). Its description in RNAcentral is "long non-coding RNA (BDIS_LNC001522)". The record is from RNAcentral. Lineage: Eukaryota; Viridiplantae; Streptophyta; Magnoliopsida; Poales; Poaceae.